This 351-nucleotide ribosomal RNA is filed under the name Terebra sp. MNHN IM 2013-13619. Its description in RNAcentral is "partial 12S ribosomal RNA". The record is from RNAcentral. Lineage: Eukaryota; Metazoa; Mollusca; Gastropoda; Neogastropoda; Terebridae.
UUACCNGAGUACUAUGAAUAUUAAGAAUUUAAAACUCAAAGAACUUGGCGGUGUUUUAGACCACUUAGGGGAACCUGUCUCAUAAUCGAUAAUCCACGAUAUACCUGACCUUUUUUUGUUUUCAGUUUGUAUACCGUUGUCGUCAGGUAACUUUUUAGAAACUAGAAGUUAGCAACAGAAAUUAAAGAUGGUUCAGUACGUCAAAUCAAGGUGCAGCUAAUAAAAAGGGGAGGAUGGGUUACAAUUAUAAAAUUAUAAUGACGGAUAUAUAUAUGAAAUUGUAUUGAUGUAAGGUGGACUUAAAAGUAAAUUAGAAUAUAUAGAUAAUUUGAAUGAGGCUCUGAAACGUGU